AUGAGCUGCAUAAGCUGAAACUGCCGGGGGCUUGGGAACCCCGAGGCAGUUCGAGAGCUUCGCAAUAUUGUGAAGCAAGAGUUACCCAUCCUACUCUUUAUCAUGGAAACUAAAAUAUCAGCGAAAAGAGUAGAGAGCCUGCAACAUUCGCUGGGAUUUGCAGGAUGUUUUGCAGUCAAUAGCACGGGAUUGAGCGGCGGCAUCGGACUAUUUUGGUCCCGGGAUGUG
RNAcentral lists this ribosomal RNA (228 nucleotides) under Triticum aestivum (bread wheat). Its description in RNAcentral is "partial small subunit ribosomal RNA". The record is from RNAcentral. Lineage: Eukaryota; Viridiplantae; Streptophyta; Magnoliopsida; Poales; Poaceae.